This 344-nucleotide unclassified non-coding RNA is filed under the name soil metagenome. Its description in RNAcentral is "partial contains 5.8S ribosomal RNA, internal transcribed spacer 2, and large subunit ribosomal RNA". The stretch from base 1 to 119 matches the Rfam family "5.8S ribosomal RNA", at positions 35 to 154 of the family's 154-position model. The record is from RNAcentral.
GAUGAAGAACGUAUCGAAAUGCGAUACGUAAUGUGAAUUGCAAAUUCAGUGAAUCAUCGAGUCUUUGAACGCACAUUGCGCCCCCUGGUAUUCCGGGGGGCAUGCCUGUCCGAGCGUCAUUGCUGCCCUCAAGCACGGCUUGUGUGUUGGGCCCGUCCUCCGAUCCCGGGGGACGGGCCCGAAAGGCAGCGGCGGCACCGCGUCCGGUCCUCGAGCGUAUGGGGCUUUGUCACCCGCUCUGUAGGCCCGGCCGGCGCUUGCCGAUCAACCCAAAUUUUUAUCCAGGUUGACCUCGGAUCAGGUAGGGAUACCCGCUGAACUUAAGCAUAUCAAUAAGCGGAGGA